UCAGUAGUUGGGGAAUCUCUGGCUAGUAACCCCAGAGUAUCUGUGAUUCUGAAGGCAACCAAGAAUGGAGAACAUCUUUAUCCUGAGCAUCUCUGUGCUGAUCCUGUGGCUUCAUCUGGGCUGGGUGAGCUGCCAGCAGAAGGUAGAGCAGACACAGUUCCUGAGGGUCCAGGAGGGAGACAGUGCCACUCUUAACUGCAAUUACACGGAUAGUAUUGCCAGCUACUUUUUAUGGUAUCAUCAGUCUCCUGGGAAAGGCCCUGUUUUACGGAUAGCAGGCUAUUCAAGCGGUGAUGAGGAAGGACGAUUCACAAUCAGCGUUAACAAAGAGGCCAAACAAUUCUCUCUGCACAUCUCAGCUUCCCAGCCUGUAGACUCAGGCACCUACUUCUGUGCAGCAGUGACACAGUGCUCCUUGGGCCCCUGCAGUCAGUGCAUAAACCCCGCAGCUGGGGCUACAGACUUAGUCUGCCAUCAGACAGACCCGGAAACUGAACAGCAUCAGCCUAUGGUGACUGCGGUGAUUGGAUUCUCAGGGAUUGACUGA
Vombatus ursinus (common wombat) is the source of this 547-nucleotide non-coding RNA. The record is from the annotation of a RefSeq genome assembly. NCBI's taxonomy places the organism in Eukaryota, Metazoa, Chordata, Mammalia, Diprotodontia, Vombatidae.